This is a non-coding RNA of Peromyscus maniculatus bairdii (prairie deer mouse), 1606 nucleotides long. Lineage: Eukaryota; Metazoa; Chordata; Mammalia; Rodentia; Cricetidae. The record is from RefSeq and is a predicted model, not a curated record.
UCAAACGGCCCCCGGGUUGUCUGAAGCCAUGUGAUUUGACACGAGGUUCACAGAAAGUUUAGGCCCCACUCCAAACAUCGGGGCUUUCACGCCCAGAAGAACAGAUGACAGGAUCUAGGAGAGUGAGGUGGUGAGAAGAAGGGGAUACUGCCCCCCUGAUAGAGGGACCAGGGAGCCAGUAAAGGAGGAUUUGUGUGAGAACAUGGGGGCAAUCCACUCAGGAAUCGAAAUUUUCUAGCAACCGGAUAAGGCUGGGCUUGGGAAGACCAAACUGAGCCAUGUUUUGUUAUAUUGCUGCUGUGGUCUUACUGUGGACAAUAAGUUAUUAAGCAGUUGCUUCUAGAAAAAGAGUACAUCCGUCCAAAAGGGCUAAAAUGGCUGGAAUCAUCCAGUAUAUCAGCUAUGUUAUUACAACCCCUUUGAUCAGAACGGUUGCUUUUCUUAAAAAUCCCUCCACAUUUAUUCUAGUUUGUGGGCUUUCUCAGUGUUGGGAACACAUAGAAAAUUAAGGCACAGUGAGUUUUGGUGCCUAGGAUGAGAAGAGAGAAAAAUGUGGACUGAGGUUACGUAUUGAUUGCAGAGUGUGUGUGUGUGUGUAUGUAAAGGAAGGAGGGAGCAUUUCCCUGGAGAGCUGUAACUGGGGAUUGGGAACAUGGAGGAGCCUGCUGGAGUAGAUGGCAGCUGAGCUGGUGAUUUCACCAGGCAGACAAAGUGGACAAGGCCGCUUCUACUACCGUCUCUACUUGGACUGUUUGGACAUAGUCUCCAGAGAAGACACUAUCAGCAAGACAGUGACUCCCUUCCAGUCCGUUUGAACUGGACUCCCUGGCAUCAGAUGUUAGACUGGCCACUGAUGGUGCUGAAAUUCUUCCUCCCUCCUUUGAUCUUCAGGAGCACUAUUGGCAGUUCUAAAAGUCAAGUUUAUAAUGGCUUGGAAAAAAAUAUCCACGAAGACAAGGUCAUCAGCUAUAAGAAAUCCUUGAUGUGAAUCCACAGUCCACAAAGCCCUGUCAAGCCUGUUGUCUCUUUGGAUCUCUCCAAACAAUCUUUGAGGUUAACCGCUAUAGGAAUUACUCAGCCCUGACGAGGCUAUGUGGAAUGGACAACAGGAAUGGAGAGGCCACUGUCCUAUGAACAAUCCAGUCCAGACUUGCGCAGACCACACAUAAAGAACAUCUCAGCAUAUGAAUGACAGCCAGCAAGCCAUGAACUCUUCCAGCAGGAAAAGCCAGCAAUGGCCAGUGUGCAAAUCAGUCUUGUCUUCCAGAUUCAUGAUUUGACUUUCAGAGUCCUCUAACCUACCAGAGUCGUGAUGUCCUGCUCUGUUAAGUGGGGUGACACUGAUACCUAAUACGUCUACCUGGCCAUGCUUACAAUUAAGAGCUAACCCAUGUCAGCACUCCCAGGGCAAGUGUUCAAGAAACAUUUCUUCCUCCUGCUGCUUCCGCUUUCCCCAUCCUCGCUAUUCAAGGCUCAUUUUGUUGUUUAAAAGCUAAUUUUCUGACAGCUCAUUUCCUCUCUGAAGGCUAUUGGGAUUCCUCCCGUCUGAACUAUGACUGAUCUUUCUAUCUGGUUCCUUUAAGAACUAAAAAAUAAUUCAUUCUUA